CAAGAACGAACGCUGGCGGCGUGCCUAACACAUGCAAGUCGAGCGAGAAAGGGGUAGCAAUACCCCGAGUAAAGCGGCGCACGGGUGAGUAACACGUAGGUAACCUACCUCUAAGACCGGGAUAACUCGUCGAAAGAUGGGCUAAUACCAGAUAAGACCACAGUCUCUACGGAGAUCGGGGUCAAAGGUGGCCUCUGCAUGCAAGCUAUCACUUAGAGAUGGGCCUGCGCACCAUUAGCUAGUUGGUAGGGUAACGGCCUACCAAGGCAAAGAUGGUUAGCUGGUCUGAGAGGAUGACCAGCCACACUGGAACUGAGACACGGUCCAGACUCCUACGGGAGGCAGCAGUGGGGAAUCUUGCGCAAUGGGCGAAAGCCUGACGCAGCAACGCCGUGUGGGUGAUGAAGGCCUUCGGGUCGUAAAGCCCUGUCGGAAGGAACGAAUGUCCCUGGGGUGAACAAUCCCAGGGAGUGACGGUACCUUCAAAGGAAGCACCGGCUAACUCCGUGCCAGCAGCCGCGGUAA
This 525-nucleotide ribosomal RNA is filed under the name uncultured delta proteobacterium. Its description in RNAcentral is "bacterial SSU rRNA". It matches the Rfam family "Bacterial small subunit ribosomal RNA", at positions 26 to 523 of the family's 1533-position model. The record is from RNAcentral. Lineage: Bacteria; Deltaproteobacteria.